AUAUUUUUCCCAGACGCGGAGGUUGGGGUCAUGGCGCCCCGAAGCCUCCUCCUGCUGCUCUCAGGGGCCCUGGCCCUGACCGAUACUUGGGCGGCGACGCCGCGAUUCCGAGGAUGGAGCCGCGGGAGCCGUGGGUGGAGCAAGAGGGGCCGCAGUAUUGGGAGUGGACCACAGGGUACGCCAAGGCCAACGCACAGACUGACCGAGUGGCCCUGAGGAACCUGCUCCGCCGCUACAACCAGAGCGAGGCUGGGUCUCACACCCUCCAGGGAAUGAAUGGCUGCGACAUGGGGCCCGACGGACGCCUCCUCCGCGGGUAUCACCAGCACGCGUACGACGGCAAGGAUUACAUCUCCCUGAACGAGGACCUGCGCUCCUGGACCGCGGCGGACACCGUGGCUCAGAUCACCCAGCGCUUCUAUGAGGCAGAGGAAUAUGCAGAGGAGUUCAGGACCUACCUGGAGGGCGAGUGCCUGGAGUUGCUCCGCAGAUACUUGGAGAAUGGGAAGGAGACGCUACAGCGCGCAGAUCCUCCAAAGGCACACGUUGCCCACCACCCCAUCUCUGACCAUGAGGCCACCCUGA
This 585-nucleotide unclassified non-coding RNA is filed under the name Homo sapiens (human). Its description in RNAcentral is "major histocompatibility complex, class I, F (multiple genes)". Lineage: Eukaryota; Metazoa; Chordata; Mammalia; Primates; Hominidae. The record is from RNAcentral.